RNAcentral lists this ribosomal RNA (501 nucleotides) under uncultured bacterium. Its description in RNAcentral is "partial 16S ribosomal RNA". It matches the Rfam family "Bacterial small subunit ribosomal RNA", at positions 30 to 523 of the family's 1533-position model. The record is from RNAcentral.
AUUGAACGCUGGCGGCAGGCUUAACACAUGCAAGUCGAGCGGGGGAAGGUAGCUUGCUACCGGACCUAGCGGCGGACGGGUGAGUAAUGCUUAGGAAUCUGCCUAUUAGUGGGGGACAACAUCUCGAAAGGGAUGCUAAUACCGCAUACGUCCUACGGGAGAAAGCAGGGGAUCUUCGGACCUUGCGCUAAUAGAUGAGCCUAAGUCGGAUUAGCUAGUUGGUGGGGUAAAGGCCUACCAAGGCGACGAUCUGUAGCGGGUCUGAGAGGAUGAUCCGCCACACUGGGACUGAGUCACGGCCCAGACUCCUACGGGAGGCAGCAGUGGGGAAUAUUGGACGAUGGGGGGAACCCUGAUCCAGCCAUGCCGCGUGUGUGAAGAAGGCCUUAUGGUUGUAAAGCACUUUAAGCGAGGAGGAGGCUACUCUAGUUAAUACCUAGGGAUAGUGGACGUUACUCGCAGAAUAAGCACCGGCUAACUCUGUGCCAGCAGCCGCCGUAA